AAGUGGGCCAUUUUUGGUAAGCAGAACUGGCGCUGUGGGAUGAACCAAACGUUAGGUUAUGGUGCCAAACUUUUCGCUCAUAAGAUCCCAUAAAAGGCGUUGGUUGAUAUAGACAGCAGGACGGUGGUCAUGGAAGUCGGUAUCCGCUAAGGAGUGUGUAACAACUCACUUGCCGAAUCAACUAGCCUUGAAAGUGGAUGACGCUUGAGCGAAAGACCUAUACAUAACCAUUGUUGGCAUGUGAAAUGAUUAAUCGAGUACGCCUGGCCACAAUGAGUACGAGGGUCGUAGCGGUUGCAUUGAAGGCGUUAGGUGUAGACCUAUCUGGAGCUUCCGUUAGUGCAGAUCUCGGUGGUAGUAGCAAAUAUUUAAGUUCGAUCCUUGAAGACUAAAGUGGAGAAGGGUUCCACGUGAACAGUAUCAUAUCAUUAAGAGAGAAAAGUUACUAUCUUUUCAUUCAGAUAUCGAAAGGGAAUAGGGUUAAUAUUCCCUAACGUAGACACAGAGAUUAUGAUUCGUAUGAAUCAUUUGCGCGGUAACGCCUCCGAACUUGGUGAACGUCGCUCAAAAACCGAGCUAGAGUUUUCUUCUCUAAUUAAGGAACGGACUUCCUGGAAUCGGUUCAGCCGUAGAUACGGACGUUAUUUCCGUAAAGUAUCGCGGUUUCUGUGAUAUCUCGUGUUUUUUGGACGAUCCAUGAAAAACUAAGUGAGGCUAUUAAUCUGUGCUACAUCGUACCGACAUCCGCAUCAGGUCUCCAAGGUGAACAGCCUCUAGUCGAUAGAAUAAUGAAGGUAAGGGAAGUCGGCAAAUUUGAUCCGUAACUUCGGAAAAAGGAUUGCCUCCGGUGACCGGGUCGAUUGGCCUGUUAGCUGAUGCUUGUACGGAUUUAUCCAUGACCGAUGUCAAAACGUUAUGUAUACGUGUAUACGUAUACGUAUAUGUGAUGAUAUUGGAUUAGUGAUAAGAGCGUCUUGCGGACGUUUAUAGGUGUGUGCUUUGUUUUCGAAUUAAGUAUACUGAUCGGCCAUUGUAAUGGUCGACUGGAACUGGUACGGACUCGGGGAAUCCGACUGUCUAAUUAAAACAGAGGAUACAGAUGGUUCUUGCGAACGUUUACUGUCUCUGAUUUCUGCCCAGUGCUUUGAAAGUUAAAUCGUAGUAAUUCGAGUAAGCGCGGGUAAACGGCGGGAGUAACUAUGACUCUUUUAAGGCAGCCAAAUGCCUCGUCAGCUAACUACUGACGCGCAUCAAUGGAUUAACGAGAUUCCCACUGUCCCGAACUACUAUCUAGCGAAACCACAGCCAAGGGAACGGGCUUGGUAAAAAUAGCGGAGAAAGAAGACCCUGUUGAGCUUGACUCUAGUUUGACAUUGUGAAGAAUCAUGAGAGAUGUAGUAUAGGUGAGAGAUUGAUGAUUUAUAUUAUUGAUCGGCAAUGAAAUACCACCACUUUCAUCGAUUCUUUACUUAU
Non-coding RNA from Dictyocaulus viviparus (bovine lungworm), 1473 nucleotides. NCBI's taxonomy places the organism in Eukaryota, Metazoa, Nematoda, Chromadorea, Rhabditida, Metastrongylidae. The record is from Rfam.